CCAAAUAGUACCUACUCUGCGAGGGUCCUGUGGGGGUCUUGACCGUUGAAGGACAGGGUAACAAAGUAUGCGGAGAAGCAGGUGGGCUGCAGACUGCUCCUGUGUGGUCAGUGGAGCUGACAAAAUGGACUUUGAUGUUAUGGCUGUUUGGUGAAUGUGCACUAUUAUACGAAUCCCAUAAAAACUCUUUUCUAAGUGUUUGUUUGUUUCAGGUGGAUCUCAGCAAAACAUUGACAGUCAGAAGCUCCAUCCAAUGUUUGGCCUGAUGGCAGCAGGUGCCAGCUUCCUCAGCAGUCUUUCGGUGACAACCAGGCGAGAAGCCGAAGCCCUGUGGGAGCAAAACUUUCAGAAUGCAGAGGUGCGGGACAAUGUUGAGGACUUGCUGCGGUUAGAAGAGUGUUUCUCUGGGUCAGUAUCUGGGCAAAGGGCAGAAACUCCUGCUGGUUCUGCUCAGGCAUUUCGGAUGACUGCCGUGACGAGAUCACUUGACCGAGCUUCGAGACAACAAGGCUCUUCUAGAGGCUCAGUCGGUGCAGGUUCUGGUGGUUUCGUACGGUUCUCUGGAGGGGGCAGAGUUUUGGCUGGCUCAGACAGGCUAUGAGUUCGACAUGGUGUUUGACCCCGAGCGUAAGGUUAGACAGCACUAACCACUUUGUCUGACCGCUGCACUCAAACAAAUGCGGGGAGAAAAACAAGCUAAUUGGGCUGGGUCAUUGUAACAGAACACACACUGGGUUAAUAAACUCAAGGUAGAUCUCUAAGCUGUAAUGCACAGCCAUACACACUCCUCUGUGUGCCAUUAACUCACCUGUGUUCACCCCAUUUACAUCCACUGAUUAAAAACAGAAUGUAAGACAAACAAAAGACGCAUUUUUGUCCUCAGCACCUUUUUUUUAAUUGAUUUACUAACGUUAGCUAGGAUAGCUAUGUAGUUAUUAAGUAAAUAAGAGUAAUGUUAAAUCAUCAUAGAAAUGUCUAAUUAAAAAUGACCUAGUAUUCAGCAAUAGAGUUAGAAAAAUGUCAUAUCUGAGGCUGCGACUGUCACUGAGCCUCCAAUAAGACAGUGGAAACAAACCUAGUGAGCUAAAGUGACCAUGAGUCUCAUAUCAGACCACCAGUCUCAUAUCAUGUAGAUCUUUCUUGAAAUAAAGCAAUUACAUAAAAACAUCGAUAUUUACUGAAAGUUUACUUAGUGAUUUCUGUCCACUGUGACUCCGUCCUGCUGCGUGAUGAGGAGCAAUUUCACCGACUCGAUUCUAACAAGCGCUGUUAUGAUUUAAAAAUGAAAUCUGGAGCCAGGUUCUUACUGUAAUACAGUCACUAACCAGCGGCUGUGCUCCCCAAAAACUACCCAAAAACUCCCCAGCACUGUGGAAAUGACCAAACAAAACAACCCAACAAAUGAGCCAUCACAGCAUUUGGGAAGAGUUAUUGGAGCAUAUAGCACUAUAGAAUUCAGUCGUCUGGUAGUAGUGAGUCAAGGCAACUGGCCUUUAGGUACAACCACAUUCAGAUAUCAGAAAACAUUAGGAACUCACUAAAAUUUUGGCUGCCAAAUAAUUUGGGCUAAAAAUGGGCAAAGGUGGUGCUUUUGGUUCUCCAGUCAGAAAAACAAAAGAUUAACCUCUUCAACUCCUUGAAAUCACCGGUGGUUCCAAAACACACUUCGUCAUGUUCUUCAUAACUUUCAUAUUUCAUAAGCUCCAUUCACAAGCUGGGAGUCGUAUGAGGCUGUAACUCUUCUUUCCAUUCAAAUAGACGGUGAUGUCAUUUUAAACCCUUAUAAUAAAAGAAGCUGAACCCACAACAUCUUUUUCUACUGAAAGUCGAGCCAUUUUUCCGCAAAUCUGGGCUAUAAACUACAAACAGAUGGCGUCUCUUCAGUGAUCUGCUCUGUAAAAACUAUUAUUAGAAAAUAAUACAAAGGGCGUCUGAGAUUUUUGGCUUUCAGCAGC
Long non-coding RNA from Pygocentrus nattereri (red-bellied piranha), 1955 nucleotides. The record is from Ensembl. Lineage: Eukaryota; Metazoa; Chordata; Actinopteri; Characiformes; Serrasalmidae.